UGUUAAAAUUUUGAUCCAUUUAUACGAUUAAAAACUUAUAUGGUUGACGAAAUAAUCAUACAUUAACAUGUGACGUAUCCAUGUAUCUCAUAUUGACAUAUAAAGACUAAUUUUUAAUAAUAGAAAUAAAUAAAAUUUUUAACA
Molecule: non-coding RNA, 144 nt
Organism: Gossypium hirsutum (cotton)
Lineage: Eukaryota; Viridiplantae; Streptophyta; Magnoliopsida; Malvales; Malvaceae
Source: Rfam